GGGAGCUUGCUCCCUGAUCUUAGCGGCGGACGGGUGAGUAACACGUGGGCAACCUGCCCUGCAGACUGGGAUAACUCCGGGAAACCGGAGCUAAUACCGGGUAAUACAUCGCACCGCAUGGUGCAAUGUUGAAAGUUGGCUUUCUGAGCUAACACUGUGGGAUGGGCCCGCGGCGCAUUAGCUAGUUGGUAAGGUAAUGGCUUACCAAGGCGACGAUGCGUAGCCGACCUGAGAGGGUGAUCGGCCACACUGGGACUGAGACACGGCCCAGACUCCUACGGGAGGCAGCAGUAGGGAAUCUUCCGCAAUGGACGAAAGUCUGACGGAGCAACGCCGCGUGAGUGACGAAGGCCUUCGGGUCGUAAAGCUCUGUUGUUAGGGAAGAACAAGUACCGUUCGAAUAGGGCGGUACCUUGACGGUACCUAACCAGAAAGCCACGGCUAACUACGUGCCAGCAGCCGCGGUAAUACGUAGGUGGCAAGCGUUGUCCGGAAUUAUUGGGCGUAAAGCGCGCGCAGGCGGUCUUUUAAGUCUGAUGUGAAAGCCCACGGCUCAACCGUGGAGGGUCAUUGGAAACUGGAGGACUUGAGUGCAGAAAAGGAGAGUGGAAUUCCACGUGUAGCGGUGAAAUGCGUAGAUAUGUGGAGGAACACCAGUGGCGAAGGCGGCUCUCUGGUCUGUAACUGACGCUGAGGCGCGAAAGCGUGGGGAGCAAACAGGAUUAGAUACCCUGGUAGUCCACGCCGUAAACGAUGAGUGCUAGGUGUUGGGGGGUUCCACCCUCAGUGCUGAAGUUAACACAUUAAGCACUCCGCCUGGGGAGUACGACCGCAAGGUUGAAACUCAAAGGAAUUGACGGGGGCCCGCACAAGCAGUGGAGCAUGUGGUUUAAUUCGAAGCAACGCGAAGAACCUUACCAGGUCUUGACAUCCUCUGACAAUCCUGGAGACAGGACGUUCCCCUUCGGGGGACAGAGUGACAGGUGGUGCAUGGUUGUCCUCACCUCGUGUCGAGAAAAUGUUGGGUUAAAUCCCGCAACGAGCGCAACCCUUGAUCUUAGUUGCCAGCAUUCAGUUGGGCACUCUAAGGUGACUGCCGGUGACAAACCGGAAGAAAGGGGGGGAUGACGUCAAAUCAUCAGGCCCCU
RNAcentral lists this ribosomal RNA (1148 nucleotides) under Guptibacillus hwajinpoensis. RNAcentral describes it as "bacterial SSU rRNA". It matches the Rfam family "Bacterial small subunit ribosomal RNA", at positions 74 to 1202 of the family's 1533-position model. The record is from RNAcentral. Lineage: Bacteria; Bacillati; Bacillota; Bacilli; Caryophanales; Guptibacillaceae.